RNAcentral lists this unclassified non-coding RNA (351 nucleotides) under soil metagenome. RNAcentral describes it as "partial contains 5.8S ribosomal RNA, internal transcribed spacer 2, and large subunit ribosomal RNA". The stretch from base 1 to 119 matches the Rfam family "5.8S ribosomal RNA", at positions 35 to 154 of the family's 154-position model. The record is from RNAcentral.
GAUGAAGACGCAGCGAAAUGCGAUAAGUAAUGUGAAUUGCAGAAUUCAGUGAAUCAUCGAAUCUUUGAACGCACAUUGCGCCCGCCAGUAUUCUGGCGGGCAUGCCUGUUCGAGCGUCAUUACAACCCUCAGGCCCCCGGGCCUGGCGUUGGGGAUCGGCGGAGCCCCCCGUGGGCACACGCCGUCCCCCAAAUGCAGUGGCGGUCCCGCCGCAGCUUCCAUCGCGUAGUAGCUAACACCUCGCGACUGGAGAGCGGCGCGGCCACGCCGUAAAACACCCAACUCUUCUGAAGUUGACCUCGAAUCAGGUAGGAAUACCCGCUGAACUUAAGCAUAUCAAUAAGCGGAGGA